CCCUUAGAUGUUCUGGGCGGCCCGCGCACUACAUUGGCACCGGCAACAAGAUCCUAGAUCUGAUAUUUCGGGGUAUUCUACCAACUGGUGUCGUGACUGGGAUUAACCCCUGCAAUUAUUGGUUAUGAACGAGGAAUUCCUUGUAAUCACGGUUUAUCAACCCGUGUUGAAUGCGUCCCUGCCCUUUGUACACACCGCCCGUCGCUCCUACCGAUGAAUCGUCCGGUGAAGUUCAUGGAGUCGCGGCUGCUCCAGCUGUUUUCGAAGUGAAAUGGACCUCAUGAUUUAGAGGAAGGAGAAGUCGUAACA
This 309-nucleotide ribosomal RNA is filed under the name uncultured eukaryote. RNAcentral's name for it is "partial 18S ribosomal RNA". It matches the Rfam family "Eukaryotic small subunit ribosomal RNA", at positions 1470 to 1796 of the family's 1831-position model. The record is from RNAcentral.